Molecule: ribosomal RNA, 370 nt
Filed under: uncultured Glomeromycotina
Lineage: Eukaryota; Fungi; Glomeromycota
Description: LSU rRNA
Source: RNAcentral
UUGAAAGGGAAACGAUUGAAGUCAGCGUACCAGCGGGAAAUCAACCUUUCGAGUGGGGUUUUGGAGUUUUGAAGUGUGUCAAAACCUUUGAGAUUCCNAAAUUUUCGCUCUUUUGGUGUACUUUCUCGUGGGUAGGUUAACAUCGAUUUUGAUCAUCAUAAAAAGAUUGGAGGAAUGUAGCUUCGAUCUUGUAUUGAAGUGUUAUAGCCUUUGGUAAAUGUGAUGAUUAGGAUCGAGGAUUGUAACGAAUACCCUUUUGGGCUAUCCGCCUGAUCUCUAAUCGGUGUUGGUAUCGAAAGCUUGCUUAUGGUAUUAAGGUAUUACGGUCAAAAGGUUAGAACGGAUUACAUUCGUUAAGGAUGUUGACGUA